This 515-nucleotide ribosomal RNA is filed under the name uncultured bacterium. Its description in RNAcentral is "partial 16S ribosomal RNA". It matches the Rfam family "Bacterial small subunit ribosomal RNA", at positions 28 to 523 of the family's 1533-position model. The record is from RNAcentral.
GAUGAACGCUGGCGGCGUGCCUAAUACAUGCAAGUCGAGCGAAUGGAUUAAGAGCUUGCUCUUAUGAAGUUAGCGGCGGACGGGUGAGUAACACGUGGGUAACCUGCCCAUACGACUGGGAUAACUCCGGGAAACCGGGGCUAAUACCGGAUAACAUUUUGAACCGCAUGGUUCGAAAUUGAAAGGCGGCUUCGGCUGUCACUUAUGGAUGGACCCGCGUCGCAUUAGCUAGUUGGUGAGGUAACGGCUCACCAAGGCAACGAUGCGUAGCCGACCUGAGAGGGUGAUCGGCCACACUGGGACUGAGACACGGCCCAGACUCCUACGGGAGGCAGCAGUAGGGAAUCUUCCGCAAUGGACGAAAGUCUGACGGAGCAACGCCGCGUGAGUGACGAAGGCUUUCGGGUCGUAAAACUCUGUUGUUAGGGAAGAACAAGUGCUAGUUGAAUAAGCUGGCACCUUGACGGUACCUAACCAGAAAGCCACGGCUAACUACGUGCCAGCCGCCGCUGUAA